This is a long non-coding RNA of Malania oleifera, 1131 nucleotides long. RefSeq lists it as uncharacterized. The record is from RefSeq and is a predicted model, not a curated record. NCBI's taxonomy places the organism in Eukaryota, Viridiplantae, Streptophyta, Magnoliopsida, Santalales, Ximeniaceae. The transcript has 3 exons.
GCGCAGGGAGCCAUCCACUAUUCACCCCUUUUCUCGAAAAGCAUUCAUCAUUCUCUUCCUCCUUCUCUCGAUCUCUCAUUCUCCAACCUCCAUUUCGGCAUCUCACCCACUACCUUCACCCAAGCUCUCUGAUUCUCGCACUUGCACACAGAGCACGAACCUCGCCGCCCUCGUCUCUCCCUGCUCUACCAUCGUCAUAACCACACAGUUCCAUCUCCAAUCUUCCCCACAGCUCCGACCGCCAUUUUCUCCCUGCUCCACAAUCACCUCCGUGCACCCGAGCAAGCCUCCCUUCAACUCAUGGUAAUCUCAGUGCCAGAGUUCUGUUGCCGAAGUUAUCCGUCACCUCCAACAGAGUGCUAGACUGAAAACUCCGUCACCGGUCACAAUCUUCAGUUACACAGAAGAAGGGCAUAAGCAGAACCAGAAGUAGGACGAGCCAUGAAGUAGAGCAGCACCGACGUCGCCAGUGACAGCAGAAACUCUGCUUGAAGCUUAUCGUCUAAUUAUCAGCGUAAAUUUUCAAAAGUUCAAGAUAUUUAUUUCUUAGUCUGGAGAAAACAAGGGAAGAGUUUACAUUCGCACAACCAAAGGAAGGCGGUUUUAGAUGUCUUGUGUGAGAUGAGGAAGACAACCCACCUCUAUUUGUCUUUCCCAUUCUAUGUUCUUCUUUUUUUCUUUUGGGUUUUGCAUCUUUCGGUUGUUAUGGGCAGAUCUUCAUAGGUUCUAGCCAUGGUCGUCGAUCAGAUGCCGAAAACCGCAAUUCGAACCAGAGGUGAUCACGCGGAGUGAUCGGCUGAGCAAGAGGGGCAGCUGGUCAUUGAAGUUGGUGAUCCCCGAUUGCCGGAACAGAGACCCAUUCGACAGAGUUUGGCUCAGUCAACAUUCCUUCCUCACCGUUCCCCAGAAAGCAAAAAGGAAGGAGGAGGAGAUGGUGAAGAAACUGAGAGUGCAGAAGAGGAGCACUAUCUGAGUCGAGGCAAGAAGAAGGAGAAGUAGUGAGCGUGCUUGAAAUCCAAGGUGUAGUACUGUUGAAUUGAGUUAUUAAAAUUUUUGUUAAUCAAUUCUUAACUAUUUUUAAUUCUUUUAAUAAAUUCUUAACUUCUUGUUGAUUUAACAAUCACACAAAAA